Long non-coding RNA from Symphalangus syndactylus (siamang), 2302 nucleotides. RefSeq lists it as uncharacterized. The record is from RefSeq and is a predicted model, not a curated record. Lineage: Eukaryota; Metazoa; Chordata; Mammalia; Primates; Hylobatidae.
CUUCAGCCCUGAAAAAGCAUUUCCCAACAGUACAGUGUCAGUAACACAACUUUAUUAUUAAAUUAUCAUCUCAUCAAAGCAUCGUGACAUUAUUUUAUUUUGAAAUGACAUGGUUCGAGGACCCUGACAGCCAAAAGGAUAUGUCUACCAGGCCUUAAACUUUUUUUUUUUUUAACUAACACACAAAUAGUAAAGGAAGAAAUUACUUUGUUUGUUUGUUUAUUUAUUUAUUUAUUUAUUUUUGAGACGGCGUCUUCCUCUGUCUCCCAGGCUGGAGUGCAAUGGCGCGAUCUUAGCUCACUGCACCCUCUGCCUCCCAGGUGCAAGUGAUUCUCUUGCCUCAGCCUCCCGAGUAGUUGGGAUUACAGGCUCCGGCCACCACUCCCGGUUACUUUUUUGUAUUUUUAGUACAGACGGGGUUUCACCAUUUUGGCCACGCUGGUCUCGAACUGGUGACCUCAGAUAAUCCACCCUCCUCGGCCUCCCAAAAUGCUGGGAUUACAGGCGUAAACCACCACGCCCAGCCAAAAUUACAUAAUUUAAAAACGAGGAAACUAUACAUUUUGAACAAUCCUUCUUGAGGAGAGAAAUGUUACAAGUAAAGGAAAUAAAUAAAAAUAAAAUAAUAAAAAUGCAAUUAAAAAUGAAAAAUAAAAACAAAAAAAUUCUUAGUAAUUGUGACCAUCCUGGAUUUAAUCUGAGAAUAUUAAUUUUUUUAAACUAUGUAUAACAGUGCAUGUAUUAGAUUUGAGGUCGUGGAAUUUGAGUUAUGGUUAGAGUUUUUUUCUAAAACUUUUUUUCCUACUAAAAUACGGUAGUGUUGUAUCUAUUUUAUUUUACUCUAUUUUAUUUUGUUUAUGUGAAGAUUUUACUUAACUAUACAACUUUUUAAAAUAAGAAUAUUUCCUAAUUAAAAGAAAGCAAUUUUUUAAAAAGUGUAAACCCACAGGACAAAAAGCAGAUGGGCGAGCGAUAACUGAUUUCACACAGAAGAAAGAAAAGGCAGCGACCGCAAGAGCCUGCGGAGGAAUCGUCCCACCGGGAGGAAACACCCCCUGGGGAAAAUGAGGGCAGAAGACGUGGGUGUGAGGGAUGCAGCCAGCAGAUCCUCGCGGGCUCAGUGGGAGUGAACGAGGAUCACUGUACACUGUAGGACACCCGAGCAUUGCAACACCAUGAAAUAAUGCCCGCUGGGAAGCUGUGUGGCCCAUGGGGGUAUAGCUCAGGGGUAGAGCAUUUGACUGCAGAUCAAGAGGUCCCCGGUUCGAAUCCGGGUGCCCCCUGCUGGUUUUCUUUCUGUUUCAGGAUACUCUAUGAACUCGACCACUCUGAGUCCAUCCAAGUCACCAUCAGCCUGCAUAUUAGGCCCUAGAAGUGCCCUAAGCCUGCCCAGUCACAUGUACAUGUGAGACUUGGAAUGUGGAAUGAGGUACAUGGAAGCAGGAAGAGUUUGGAAUGCGCUCCAGGGAACGCGGAACUCUGUCAUUGGCAGCGGGGCUGGUGGCUGCAGCCAGCUUUCAGUGGAGGUUGGAUGAAGGAGUUUGUGUCAUGCCAAAGAGAGCUAGAAAAGCCAGUUUAAAAAGGCAAUUCACAUUUUAAAAGCAUCAGAGAGUUGCAGAAGCAGCAAGGACUAGAAGAACUAAAAUUCCAGAGAGGAGAGAACCUUUUGGAACAAUCUCAGUUAUUCAGCAGCAACAGCUGAAUGUUUUGGUGUAGUCGUGGGGACAUCUGCACAUUCCAUCUGUGUCUGGAGAAGGCUUUGUAGACAUCUGAGCUUUCCAUUGUAUGUCUUUGAGCUUCCUAAUGCCGUCAGACUUGGCUGGGCGUUUCUUACUGCUCUGUAACAACAGCUGGUCUCUAAAAGUUUUGUCCUUCAGUGGGAACUUUAUUCCAAGAAGAAGUGACACUUGAAAUAUUUAACAACAGCUACAGCACAGACACUGACCAAUCAGAAUGAAUGCCAGCCAUAAGCAACCAUUGAAUGCCUACCAGGUGAAACAGCUGAAAAUGAGAGCCAAGGCUGAUCCCUGUGGGUGCCAAACUUUGAUGUCCAUGGAAUUGGCAGCUUCCCCCAGUCUCCCAGCUGAAAACAGGCUGGAGUGCAGUGGCGCGAUCUCGGCUCACUACAACCUCUGCCUCCCUGUUGGCCAGGCUGGUCUAGAAUUCCUGACCUCGUGAUUCGCCCGCCUCAACCUCCCAAAGUGUUGGGAUUACAGCCGUGAGCCACUAUGCCUGGCCAACUCUAGACUUGAAGAGACUGGAAAGGUGAAAUGUACUAAAUUCACGUGACAUGCCGUCACUC